ACAAUGACAUAUUUGGUGGGGAUUGGCAGCCAACAAUAUGAUUGGAUUGGGACUAAAUCAAAGAAUAAAACGAUAUUGAAAUGAAUAUUAUUAACAAAUAUUUCCCAGAAGAUUUUGGGUUCAACCUAAGGCUGACUAGGACAGAUCAAUCAACUUGAUCCGACACAGUAAGCCUACAUGUCAUACGUAAGUAAAUCCACAAGAGAGACAAUAUUGCAAAGGCAGGACCAUGUUCGAUGGAAGGCGUAGGGGUAGGCAAUCGAAAACGUUUGACGGGGUGAAAUUUCUGUCAAUAUUAGCUAGUCCUACUGACGUGGGCAAGUAACCUUUCCCGCGCUCUUCCUAAAAAUACUAUUUGUGAUGUCAUAAAGGUCUAAUGUUCCAUGACGUAGCAUGUAGCCCUAAAUUACAGUCCCUGCUUGCAAUAUUGUCCUCACUCUCGACCUGAACUCAACUUGAAUGUAACCAACACAGACAAGGACAUGCUUUUUGAGAUAUAAAAUAGCUUGAAUGGAUGAAGAAAGGGUAAGCUAAAUUACUUCAUACAAUAUUGGGGGAAAGUAAAAAAGGGUAAAGCAAUAUAAGCGGAUAUUUCUUGUAAAAAGCUAUAACAUAUUGUAAAGCAAAUGUACCAUUCUUUAUAAAGUCACCAGCUUAGCUCUGAUAUGGCUGUAGCUCUAUUUAUGAUGUCCUCUGCACAGAUCUACUCUGACAUUGACAUAUUAUUACUUAUUGGAAUGUCUGUCCUUCAGGUAGCACAGAGGGAGGAUGGUGAUCCUCAGAGGGAAGGAAAGGAAGUUGUUGAGGAAGAACGGUGGCCACGCCCAAAGAGGAGGCCAAGAAGGGAAGGAAGGCAAAAAGUAAGAGGAGUGGCAAGAAGUCAAGGAAGCUGGGCACUGACAACGAUGCAGGUCAGAGAUUUUACCUCUGUAGUACUACAUUGUUUCUCUAUUCUGCCUGUGAUGUGCAGGUUGUAUUAUCCAUUUCAAUGAAACUGUAGUCUACUGUAAUCAGUAAGAAAGGUCACAUAGAUAGCUUUAUUAAAAUAGGCCUAUUCUAAAACCCUUAAACAAUGAAAUCAGAGUAUUAAGAGAUAAACGUCUGAUUUCUCUUUAAUUUUGUUUCUACUUCCUCUACGCAAUCACAUCUUAGUCUCCAGGAAUAAACACCUGGAUAGAGGAUCUGUAAUUGAGCUCCUGGAGAAGAAAGCUGUUCAGGCUGCAUUUCGGCCCAGGCAACAAGGAUGAGAUGGAAUACUCCUACCCAAUCCUCAUCUCAUUCCUGCGCAAUCUUACUGAUGAGUAUGUUAAAAGUUUUCCUGUAAUGUUCAACAUUUAUGAAAUAUUGUGCAGUGGGAACUAAACACUAACUAAAACCCUUAUUUUAAAUGUCUAGGCAGUGGCAAGUGAUCUACAAAGGACUAAAAAACCCUGUAAGUUUUCCUACCUGCCUUUGACCUUUGAUGUGUCAAUGAUCUGUUGAAUUCAGAGAUUAGCCAUCAAGUCAUAUUCUGUUAUUCAUGUUCUCUGUCAGACUUCAUCAAACUUUGAAUUCAGUCACAGACAAGAAUAACAAUGUUGAUCAAAUGCAUUCUGUUCGAUCUAGAAUACUUUACAUCACAGUUCCAUUGAAAAUACUGUUUUUGUUAUGUUUGUUCAAAUCAGAUGACGAAGGAACAGCUUGCCAAAUUGUGCAAGACAAUUGUAACCUUCAUCGCACAGACCACCCUGCAGAUCCUGCUGCCAGCCCUGGCCCGCGUACUUGGGGUAAAGGACUUUGCUGACGACGACACUGACUCACCCAAGAGGGGUGGCAGUGCAAGAUCCUUUGAUGCCUUUGAUCAGGAAAGACUGGAGCUCAUCCAGGAAGUUAGAUAUCUGGCGAAGAAAAUGUAUAAGGGCGGCACAGGGCUCAACAUCUCAGGUCCCUAACACCCUCUUCUAAGAGGUAUGUUCCCCUCAAGGUUUUCAUGUAUGGAUUUCACCGAGAUCAUCUAUCCCAGUGUUAGCCAAUGCAAUUUACUCUAUCUGAUGUAGUUACAACAUGUAAUGUAUCAGCCUUUGAGCAUAUUCAAAUGAAUGAGCAUGUAAAGCGAUCAAAAGGACAUGUAGAUAUUUAGAAUACUAAAAUUACAACGCUUGACCGAUUUGCCAAGUUAAGACAGGAAUUAUCAUGCUUUGCUUGUUCGUUUUAAAGUUCCCAGACCUCAGUGAAGUCCUCCUGGGAAUGACAGAGGACAGAAUCAUCAAAAGUGUCCAGGAGCAACUGUCUGAUCAUA
RNAcentral lists this long non-coding RNA (2278 nucleotides) under Oncorhynchus mykiss (rainbow trout). RNAcentral's name for it is "lncRNA (ENSOMYG00000067138.1)". The record is from RNAcentral. Lineage: Eukaryota; Metazoa; Chordata; Actinopteri; Salmoniformes; Salmonidae.